Lepisosteus oculatus (spotted gar) is the source of this 872-nucleotide non-coding RNA. NCBI's taxonomy places the organism in Eukaryota, Metazoa, Chordata, Actinopteri, Semionotiformes, Lepisosteidae. The record is from RefSeq and is a predicted model, not a curated record.
GUUUUUGGUGUUUCCUCAAUGUCUCUGUCCUGGAGCCUACACGCGCACAAGCCUGUCAUCGCACCUGUGCAGGUGACCGUGAGCUGGUCUGAGGUCUUAAUGAGAAACAGGCUGGGAAAGCACAGCGGGCGGGUGCGCGAUGGAGCCCAGUCUCUGAUUGGCCGGAGGUCGCUGAGUGACAGAGGUUUCCACCUGUUAGAGGAGCGGUGUCCACAGCCGGGCUAUUUGAGCCGGUGGGAGGGGCUGGUCGUCAUUCCGGCCGUGAGGUGUGUUCAAGCGAACAGGUGCGCUGCUUUUACUGCGAGAACAGACGGGUGGUGUUUCGAGGUGAAGGAAACCGUUCUGAUGCACCUUUAGCGAACCUUUGCUUUAAAUGUUACCGCAGGGAAGAAACCUGGACUUGUUCUUGUGCUGCCUACAGCUUCUGAUGUAGAUUCCUACUUAAAUUGUUGAAACCUUCAGCCCUGUGUACUGUGCUGUUGUAAAAUUAAGACUGUGUUGAACUGUCAUCUGUACUGUUUGUUAAUACUCAGACCUCUGUAGUGUAUGGUGUUGAAGUAGAUGGACUGGUCUACUGAACUGUCACUUGUACUAUAAUGUAACAUUUCUUCUGUACUGUAUUUCACUGUAACAGAUGCAUUGUGGAUUAUAGGAAAAUGUCACCUGUACGCGAUUUGUAAUCUUCCUUGUGUACUGUAUUAUGUGAACGGUUACCAUUGUGGGGUUGUAAUACUUAAAACAGUCACCUGUGCUAUUCUGUCAUACUAAACCUGUGUAUUGUAAUAUGUGGACUACUCUUCUGAACUGUCACUUUUACACUGUUGUAAUCACUCUUUACCAUAUUUGUGAGUAAAAGAUGAAUUUUGAUCUGA